AGAGUUUGAUCCUGGCUCAGGAUGAACGCUAGCUACAGGCUUAACACAUGCAAGUCGAGGGGAAACGAUAUUGGAAGCUUGCCUCCGAUAGGCGUCGACCGGCGCACGGGUGAGUAACGCGUAUCCAACCUGCCCAUCACUUGGGGAUAACCUUGCGAAGGUAAGACUAAUACCCAAUGACGUCUUUAGAAGACAUCUGAAGGAGAUUAAAGAUUUAUCGGUGAUGGAUGGGGAUGCGUCUGAUUAGCUUGUUGGCGGGGUAACGGCCCACCAAGGCAACGAUCAGUAGGGGUUCUGAGAGGAAGGUCCCCCACAUUGGAACUGAGACACGGUCCAAACUCCUACGGGAGGCAGCAGUGAGGAAUAUUGGUCAAUGGGCGAGAGCCUGAACCAGCCAAGUAGCGUGCAGGAAGACGGCCCUAUGGGUUGUAAACUGCUUUUAUAAGGGAAUAAAGUGAGUCUCGUGAGACUUUUUGCAUGUACCUUAUGAAUAAGGACCGGCUAAUUCCGUGCCAGCAGCCGCGGUAAUAUGGAAGGUCCGGGCGUUAUCCGGAUUUAUUGGGUUUAAAGGGAGCGUAGGCCGGAGAUUAAGCGUGUUGUGAAAUGUAGACGCUCAACGUCUGCACUGCAGCGCGAACUGGUUUCCUUGAGUACGCACAAAGUGGGCGGAAUUCGUGGUGUAGCGGUGAAAUGCUUAGAUAUCACGAAGAACUCCGAUUGCGAAGGCAGCUCACUGGAGCGCAACUGACGCUGAAGCUCGAAAGUGCGGGUAUCGAACAGGAUUAGAUACCCUGGUAGUCCGCACGGUAAACGAUGGAUGCCCGCUGUUGGUCUGAACAGGUCAGCGGCCAAGCGAAAGCAUUAAGCAUCCCACCUGGGGAGUACGCCGGCAACGGUGAAACUCAAAGGAAUUGACGGGGGCCCGCACAGGCGGAGGAACAUGUGGUUUAAUUCGAUGAUACGCGAGGAACCUUACCCGGGCUUGAAUUGCAGAGGAAGGAUUUGGAGACAAUGACGCCCUUCGGGGUCUCUGUGAAGGUGCUGCAUGGUUGUCGUCAGCUCGUGCCGUGAGGUGUCGGCUUAAGUGCCAUAACGAGCGCAACCCCUCUCCUUAGUUGCCAUCAGGUUAAGCUGGGCACUCUGGGGACACUGCCACCGUAAGGUGUGAGGAAGGUGGGGAUGACGUCAAAUCAGCACGGCC
RNAcentral lists this ribosomal RNA (1201 nucleotides) under metagenome. RNAcentral's name for it is "bacterial SSU rRNA". It matches the Rfam family "Bacterial small subunit ribosomal RNA", at positions 8 to 1200 of the family's 1533-position model. The record is from RNAcentral.